UACGAAGGGGGCUAGCGUUGUUCGGAAUUACUGGGCGUAAAGCGCGCGCAGGCGGUUUUCCAAGUCAGUGGUGAAAGCCCGGAGCUCAACUCCGGAAAUGCCAUUGAAACUGCAAAACUUGAGUACGAGAGAGGUGAGUGGAAUUCCCAGUGUAGAGGUGAAAUUCGUAGAUAUUGGGAAGAACACCGGUGGCGAAGGCGGCUCACUGGCUCGUAACUGACGCCCAGGCGCGAUAGCGUGGGGAUCAAACAGG
RNAcentral lists this ribosomal RNA (253 nucleotides) under uncultured bacterium. RNAcentral's name for it is "partial 16S ribosomal RNA". It matches the Rfam family "Bacterial small subunit ribosomal RNA", at positions 524 to 776 of the family's 1533-position model. The record is from RNAcentral.